RNAcentral lists this long non-coding RNA (215 nucleotides) under Elaeis guineensis (African oil palm). RNAcentral describes it as "long non-coding RNA (EGUI_LNC011321)". The record is from RNAcentral. Lineage: Eukaryota; Viridiplantae; Streptophyta; Magnoliopsida; Arecales; Arecaceae.
AAAAUUUACAGAGGCCCGAGCUACAAAAGAGAUUUGAUCAGAAAAUACGAGAGACGAGGGGCGCUGAAACAGGGGAUUUGGCCAAAUAUAGGGAGACCGGAACUCGUUACCGGCGCUCGAACCUUAGUCGAACGUUCAUGGUAGUUGUCGAGCGGGCUUUCUGGAGGUCUGGGAGGGUCCUCGAUUUCAGAGCACAGAAGAGGACGCGGAACAGG